Molecule: unclassified non-coding RNA, 1859 nt
Filed under: Megachile rotundata (alfalfa leafcutting bee)
Lineage: Eukaryota; Metazoa; Arthropoda; Insecta; Hymenoptera; Megachilidae
Description: ubiquitin thioesterase OTU1, transcript variant X1
Source: RNAcentral
GCAACGAAAAAAAAUACCUAAACGGUCAUCUAACCAACGAGUCGGUAACGUUCGCUGGUGACUGAUCAACGUUACGAUAUACGUUCGUGUGUUAAAUACAUACGACGAUGAACUGCAAAAAAUAGUCGAUAUCUAUCAAUAAAGAAAAAAUAGGAAAUAUAUGUCGUGUACGACGGACGCCGUGUUCCAAUCGUGAUAUGUUCUUCGCCUCGAAAUUAAACAAAAUUUUAGCGUGGCGCUGUAUCAACAGCUGAUUAACUUGUAGUCUUCGAACAAAAUUUUCGUUCUAGUCAACUCCAGUGUCAGAGGAGUAAAAACGAAAAAACAAAAACGAUGGCCGGAUUCGUGUUGCGAGUUAAAACGAAAUCAGGUCAAAAGGUCGUAAACGGUUUGAUCCCUCAGGAUAAGGUGUCCGUAUUGAAAUCGAAGCUGGCCGAGCUAACGGGAAUAGCAGUCGAUUCGCUUCACGUUCUUGGUGGAUUUCCACCAAAGGCGAUUAAUUUAAACAAUGAAACGGACACGAUCGAGGAAAGCGGUGUUGUGUCGGGCGAUACCUUGAUCGUAGAAGAGAAGCCACCUCUUUACAAUGGGAAACAAAAGUCGGAAGAAAUUGGUCGGUCCCAUAUCGUUGACGACGAGAAUUUCGUAAACACGCCCGGUGUACUGAUGAAAAAAGUUGUACCUGCAGAUAAUUCUUGCUUAUUCACCAGUGUCGGAUACGUGCUCAACGGUAAAGUAGAUCCUAGUUGCGCCAGCUUCAUGAGAGAAAUUAUAGCCAAUGCCGUGGCGGCUGAUCCGGAAGAAUAUUCCGAAGCUUUCUUAGGUCGUCCCAAUUCCGAAUAUUGCGAAUGGAUUUUGAAGCCUGAAUCUUGGGGCGGUGCUAUAGAGCUCUCUAUACUCUCAAAAUUUUAUGGACUAGAAAUAGCGGUAAUCGACAGCAUUAACGCUAUAAUCAAUAGAUUCGGCGAAGAUCAACAUUAUGCUCAAAGAGUAUUUCUAAUAUUCGAUGGAAUUCAUUAUGAUCCUUUGUACCUAGAACCGCUCGAUGGUGGUAGUAUUCAAACUAUCUUUCCUACGGAAGAUGAAACGAUAUUAUUGGAAGCGGCAGAACUUGCCAGAGAAGUAAAAUCUAGUCGUCAAUUUACGGAUAUUCAAAAGUUCACUUUAAUGUGUAACGAUUGUAAAAUCAAAUUAAACGGCCAAAUGGAAGCUCAACAACAUGCCAAGGAAACUGGUCAUAUGAAUUUUGGAGAAGUAGCAGCGUAGCGAAUUAAAUGUUUCCUCUCUUGUUGUAAAUCUUCUAAACCUUUAAUUGGACCGCUGUUUGAGAAUCCUAUUAAGUUCGAGUCUCAAACAGAAUUUUCUACUUAAACGAGGCUUCUAAGCAAAUCCGUCCAGGUAUGCAUAUAAUAGAGGAUAAUAGAGGAUGAAACAAAAAACUAACUAUGACACCUUCAUUAUACAUACGUGUAUAACUCUAGGAUAUUGUAAUUAUUUUCUUAUCGAGAUUUCUAUGCGAUCGAACAUGCACCGUAUCAACACGCGAGUUUUCGAUUAAAAAGUGAAAGUUAAUUUUUUGUAACUACACACACACACAUAUAAAAUAUUUCUUAAAAAAUGUAUCAUUCAAGCAUCAUAUUUUGUUUUUUAUAUACAGGAAUAUAAAUACCUGUAUUACAGUGUUAGAUUUGCCGAGCAGAAUUAAUUAGACUCGAGCGGAAAAAGAAGUUGCAAAAAAUGACUUAUUACUCAGGAAAAAUUCAUCAUAAAUUUUCACAGAUUUAUAUUUAUAUCACGCUAUGAUAUGUUUUGUAAGUUCCGUCGUAUCGAUAAAAUAAAACAAACAAGAUAUUUCACUA